Molecule: long non-coding RNA, 435 nt
Filed under: Pan troglodytes (chimpanzee)
Lineage: Eukaryota; Metazoa; Chordata; Mammalia; Primates; Hominidae
Description: lincRNA
Source: RNAcentral
AAAAAAUACAGCAGGACCUGCAGCUCAUAUAUUCAAACCAUGCUUGUGAAAAUACCAGGACGGUAAAUUAGUGAAUUCCAAAGUCAGGAUUUUUGUUGGAUCUGGCACAGUCACAGGAAAGUCUGAGUUUUCUCAAGGGCAUCCCUGUCUCACCGAGGGGCACCAAGGACAGACGACCAGAAGCAAAUGGCGCAGUCACCGUCAGAGGAGAGUAAAACUCAUUCUGAAACGGUUCCAAAUGCCCAUGCCUGCUCUGUGGUUUUCAGCAAAGCGGACCUUUCCAAAAGACCUCCAACGGGGACUUCCUGGAUGUGAGAACACUAACCAAUUCUCGUUCCUCUCAUCUUUUGCUUUAUUCCUUCCUUCCACGCUGUUAUUGCGAAAAACUGGCAGUUAAAUUCAAUUGAUUCAAAAUAUUCGGGAUCCAUAUGGCCG